CAUGGUUGGUGACCUAACCAUGGAGUGGGCCUGCCUGUUGAGCCAUUCUGCUGUGAAGAGAUGGGGGUAUUCUGUCAAAACGUGGCUAGGAAGAUAGGCUGCAUGUGCAAGCGUGGGAACCACCCCCUUAAAUGAAAUGCAAUGUUGCUCAGCAAGGAAGAACUCCCGAGACAUCCUUCCACCGUCGUGCCAUUGGAGGGCAUGGCGCCGGCUUCCUUCCUGAGUCACUCACUGUUUACGGGCAGCCGCUGGCUUCCAGGCCGCGUCCCCUCCAGUAAAAAGGGGGCGUGCUUGGUAGAGAUCCUUGAGACCUUUGAUGGCAGGAUCUGAAACAAGGCCAGGCCCCAUUAUAGGGCAAUUACCCUUCAGGCUGAUUGGUGCAGAGACGCUGUAAACGCACCUUUGCGGAACACAGACGACACAGGAAAGACGUUUGGCAGUAAUACUACGACAGCGAGGGGCCCGGGAAGCCCGCGGAAACGCAGGAGGCGGCCAGGAGAGGCAGCGCUACGCACAUCCCCCCCACCUUCGGAGCCCUGUCCUAGCUUAGGCUGAGACAACUGGGAGGGGCUGGCUUCUUUGUUCCCCUCUUUCCCCGCAACCUGCCAGAGGGAACUGGAGAGAGGGGUCCUCCUAGCUUUAGGCACACUUAAAGCAGCCUGCCAGGAAGGAAAUGCGGGGGCUCCACCUUAGAGGCGGUCGAGGCCAGCGUGAAAGCACAGGGUGGCGACCACUUCCCCCACCCCCCACCCCGGUUCUCAUCCCCGGCCUACCCUCCUGCCUCCUGCCCAGAGCCCAGACUACAUGCAAGGCCUUGCGCCAGAUCCUGGAGAUGCCACGAUGAAGGUGGGAGGUGACAUUUUAAAAUAUCCCUCAAUUCCAGCACUUUGAGAGGCCGAGGGGGGCGGAUCACUUGAGAUUAGGAGUUCGAGACCAGCCUGGCCAACAUGGUAAAACCCUAUCUCUACUAAAAAUAAAAGAAUUCGCCGGGCAUAGUGAUGCACGCCUGUAAUCCCAGCUAUUCCGGAGGCUGAGGCAGGAGAAUCACUUGAACCCAGGAGAGGUUGCAGUGAGCCGAGAUCGUGCCACUGCACUCCAGCCUGGGUGAAAAAGCCAGACCUUGUCUCAAAACAACAGCAGCAGCAGCAGCAGCAGCA
Molecule: long non-coding RNA, 1157 nt
Filed under: Homo sapiens (human)
Lineage: Eukaryota; Metazoa; Chordata; Mammalia; Primates; Hominidae
Description: HSALNT0141109
Source: RNAcentral